GUCUACGGCCAUACCACCCUGAAUGCGCCUUAUCUCAUCUGAUCUUGGAAGUUAAGCAGGGUCAGGCCUGGUUAGUACCUGGAUGGGAGAAUAUGAGAAUCUGAGAGACAUGUUCA
RNAcentral lists this ribosomal RNA (116 nucleotides) under Jaculus jaculus (lesser Egyptian jerboa). The record is from RNAcentral. Lineage: Eukaryota; Metazoa; Chordata; Mammalia; Rodentia; Dipodidae.